Molecule: ribosomal RNA, 449 nt
Filed under: Bdelyropsis bowditchi
Lineage: Eukaryota; Metazoa; Arthropoda; Insecta; Coleoptera; Scarabaeidae
Description: partial 16S ribosomal RNA
Source: RNAcentral
CAUGUCUUUUUGAUAAUAAUUUAAAGUCUGACCUGCUCAAUGAAUUUAGAAUUUAAAUAGCUGUGGUAUUUUGACCAUACUAAGGUAGCAUAAUCAUUAGUUUCUUAAUUAGUAACUGGAAUGAAUGGUUGGACGAAAAAUUUACUGUCUCAAUUUAAAUUAUAUAGAAUUUUAUUUUUAAGUUAAAAAGCUUAAAUAAAUUUAAAAGACGAGAAGACCCUAUAGAGUUUUAUAUAAUUUUUUUUAAUUUUAAAAUUUAUAGUAUAUUAUUUUAUUAAUAUAAAAUUGUAUUUUAUUGGGGUGAUAGAAAAAUUGAAUAAACUUUUUUUAAAAAAUUUACAUUAAUAUAUGUUUAAUUGAUCCAUUAUUUAUGAUUAUAAGAUUAAAUUACCUUAGGGAUAACAGCGUUAUUUUUUUUAGAGUUCUUAUCGAAUAAAAAGUUUGCGACC